UUCCGGUUGAUCCUGCCGGAGGCCAUUGCUAUUGGGAUUCGAUUUAGCCAUGCUAGUCGCACGAGUUCAGACUCGUGGCGAAUAGCUCAGUAACACGUGGCCAAACUACCCUUCGGAGCACGAUACUCUCGGGAAACUGAGGCUAAUAGUGCAUACCACAAUCCACCUGGAAUGAGGAUUGUGCCAAAUGCUCCGGCGCCGAAGGAUGUGGCUGCGGCCGAUUAGGUAGACGGUGGGGUAACGGCCCACCGUGCCAAUAAUCGGUACGGGUCAUGAGAGUGAGAACCCGGAGACGGAAUCUGAGACAAGAUUCCGGGCCCUACGGGGCGCAGCAGGCGCGAAACCUUUACACUGCACGCCAGUGCGAUAAGGGAAUCCCAAGUGCGUAGGCAUAGAGCCUACGCUUUUGUACACCGUAGGGAGGUGUACGAAUAAGGGCUGGGCAAGACCGGUGCCAGCCGCCGCGGUAAUACCGGCAGCCCGAGUGAUGGCCGAUCUUAUUGGGCCUAAAGCGUCCGUAGCUGGCCGCACAAGUCCAUCGGAAAAUCCACCCGCUCAACGGGUGGGCGUCCGGUGGAAACUGUGUGGCUUGGGACCGGAAGGCGCGACGGGUACGUCCGGGGUAGGAGUGAAAUCCCGUAAUCCUGGACGGACCGCCGAUGGCGAAAGCACGUCGCGAGGACGGAUCCGACAGUGAGGGACGAAAGCCAGGGUCUCGAACCGGAUUAGAUACCCGGGUAGUCCUGGCCGUAAACAAUGUCUGUUAGGUGUGGCUCCCACUACGAGUGGGUGCUGUGCCGUAGGGAAGCCGCUAAACAGACCGCCUGGGAAGUACGUCCGCAAGGAUGAAACUUAAAGGAAUUGGCGGGGGAGCACUACAACCGGAGGAGCCUGCGGUUUAAUUGGAUUCAACGCCGG
This 918-nucleotide ribosomal RNA is filed under the name uncultured archaeon. RNAcentral describes it as "bacterial SSU rRNA". It matches the Rfam family "Archaeal small subunit ribosomal RNA", at positions 1 to 921 of the family's 1478-position model. The record is from RNAcentral.